RNAcentral lists this ribosomal RNA (474 nucleotides) under uncultured bacterium. RNAcentral's name for it is "SSU rRNA". It matches the Rfam family "Bacterial small subunit ribosomal RNA", at positions 26 to 518 of the family's 1533-position model. The record is from RNAcentral.
AGGACGAACGCUGGCGGCGUGCUUAACACAUGCAAGUCGAGCGGAAAGGCCCUUCGGGGUACUCGAGCGGCGAACGGGUGAGUAACACGUGAGCAACCUGCCCCUGGCUCUGGGAUAGCCUUCGGAAACGGGGAUUAAUACCGGAUAUUCACUGCUUCCUGCAUGGGGGGUGGUGGAAAGUUUUCGGCUGGGGUGGGGCUCGCGGCCUAUCAGCUUGUUGGGGGGGUGACGGCCCACCAAGGCGACGACGGGUAGCCGGCCUGAGAGGGCGACCGGCCACACUGGGACUGAGACACGGCCCAGACUCCUACGGGAGGCAGCAGUGGGGAAUAUUGCGCAAUGGGCGGAAGCCUGACGCAGCGACGCCGCGUGCGGGAUGAAGGCCUUCGGGUUGUAAACCGCUUUCACCAGGGACGAAGCGAGAGUGACGGUACCUGGGGAAGAAGCGCCGGCUAACUACGUGCCAGCAGCCGC